GACGAACGCUGGCGGCGUGCUUAACACAUGCAAGUCGAACGGAGCGAAUGAAAGCUUGCUUUUAUAAGCUUAGUGGCAAACGGGUGAGUAACACGUAGACAACCUGCCGACAGGAUGGGGACAACAUUCCGAAAGGAAUGCUAAUACCGAAUGAAGCGCAGGAGAGGCAUCUCUCCUGCGUGAAAGAUGGCCUCUGAAUAUGCUAUCACCUGUUGAUGGGUCUGCGUCUGAUUAGCUGGUAGGUGAGGUAACGGCUCACCUAGGCGACGAUCAGUAGCCGGUCUGAGAGGAUGAACGGCCACAUUGGGACUGAGACACGGCCCAGACUCCUACGGGAGGCAGCAGUGGGGAAUCUUCCGCAAUGGGCGCAAGCCUGUCGGAGCAACGCCGCGUGAGUGAAGAAGGUCUUCGGAUCGUAAAGCUCUGUUGAUGGGGAC
This 437-nucleotide ribosomal RNA is filed under the name Centipeda noxia. Its description in RNAcentral is "bacterial SSU rRNA". It matches the Rfam family "Bacterial small subunit ribosomal RNA", at positions 28 to 446 of the family's 1533-position model. The record is from RNAcentral. Lineage: Bacteria; Bacillati; Bacillota; Negativicutes; Selenomonadales; Selenomonadaceae.